Molecule: ribosomal RNA, 253 nt
Filed under: uncultured bacterium
Lineage: Bacteria
Description: partial 16S ribosomal RNA
Rfam family: Bacterial small subunit ribosomal RNA
Source: RNAcentral
UACGUAGGUGGCAAGCGUUAUCCGGAAUUACUGGGCGUAAAGCGCACGCAGGCGGUCUUUUAAGUUUGACGUGAAAGCUCCCGGCUUAACUGGGAGAGGUCGUUGCAUACUGGCAAACUCGAGGGAGGCAGAGGAAAGUGGAAUUCCCGGUGUAGUGGUGAUAUGCGUAGAUAUCGGGAGGAACACCUGUGGCGAAGGCGGCUUUCUGGGCCUUACCUGACGCUGAGACGCGAAAGCGUGGGGAGCGAACCGG